This 1319-nucleotide long non-coding RNA is filed under the name Vitis vinifera (wine grape). RNAcentral describes it as "long non-coding RNA (VVIN_LNC000390)". Lineage: Eukaryota; Viridiplantae; Streptophyta; Magnoliopsida; Vitales; Vitaceae. The record is from RNAcentral.
CCGGGAGGAGUUGAAGAAAGCUGCCAUGGAGUGGGGUGUGAUGCACCUUGUUAACCAUGGCAUCUCUGAUGACCUUAUCAACCGUGUUAAGGUUGCUGGAGAGACCUUUUUCAAUCUCCCCAUGGAGGAAAAGGAGAAGUAUGCUAAUGACCAGGCCUCCGGCAAGAUCGCUGGCUAUGGCAGCAAGCUUGCCAACAAUGCUAGUGGACAGCUUGAGUGGGAGGACUACUUCUUCCACCUCAUCUUCCCUGAAGACAAGCGCGAUAUGACCAUCUGGCCUAAGACACCAAGCGACUACGUGUAAGUUCAAUUCAUUGUUUAUGUAAUUAUACGAUGUUUGCUGAUCUGUUUUUCCUCUGGCCAAGUAGUUACUAACUGAAUUUUCUAUUAUAAAAAAAAAUCUGCAAAUUUUACUAAUUUUGAAAUUGUUUCUGGGUUCUAAGAAUUACUUGUUCAAACUUGUGAUUGCAGUCCAGCAACCUGUGAGUACUCGGUGAAACUUAGGAGCCUGGCAACCAAGAUACUAUCGGUGCUAUCGCUUGGGUUGGGAUUGGAAGAAGGGAGACUAGAAAAGGAAGUUGGUGGGAUGGAAGAGCUACUACUCCAAAAGAAGAUCAACUACUACCCCAAGUGUCCCCAGCCUGAAUUGGCUCUCGGGGUGGAAGCUCACACUGACGUGAGCGCUCUCACCUUCAUCCUCCACAACAUGGUACCCGGCCUGCAACUUUUCUAUGAGGGCAAGUGGGUGACAGCCAAGUGUGUCCCCAACUCCAUCAUCAUGCACAUUGGAGACACCAUAGAGAUUCUCAGCAAUGGUAAGUACAAGAGUAUUCUUCACAGGGGACUGGUCAACAAGGAGAAGGUGAGGAUUUCAUGGGCAGUUUUCUGCGAGCCGCCUAAGGAGAAGAUCAUCCUGAAGCCACUGCCAGAGACGGUGUCUGAGACUGAGCCACCACUCUUCCCACCUCGCACCUUUUCCCAACAUAUUCAGCACAAGCUCUUCAGGAAGACCCAGGAGGCUCUACUCUCCAAAUGAGCUGUAGCCUUGUUGUAUUUCAUCUGCUAUACUAAGCUCUCUAUUUGGCUGUUUUGUUACAGUUUGGUCUGUGUUUCAAGCUUCCCAAUCUUUGAUCAUGGCAGGUAUAGGCCAUCAUAUAUGUUUGUUUCUCUGCCUGCUUUUAUUUAAUAAAAUUCGAGAUUUCUAUUCUUCUUUUGUGCACAACCAAGUUUUGGAUUUGAAUUACCAAUGUCAUUAUGCAUUAAUUCUCAAGCUACUUGUAUUGAAAAAUAAAGCCAAUAUGGUAAUGGUAUGAGUGGUG